This 423-nucleotide ribosomal RNA is filed under the name uncultured bacterium. RNAcentral's name for it is "bacterial SSU rRNA". It matches the Rfam family "Bacterial small subunit ribosomal RNA", at positions 355 to 775 of the family's 1533-position model. The record is from RNAcentral.
UGAGGAAUAUUGGUCAAUGGGCGCAAGCCUGAACCAGCCAUCCCGCGUGCAGGAAGACGGCCCUAUGGGUUGUAAACUGCUUUUCCAGGGGAAGAAUUUUUCUGUCGUGACAGGAAUUGACGGUACCCUGGGAAUAAGCAUCGGCUAACUCCGUGCCAGCAGCCGCGGUAAUACGGAGGAUGCGAGCGUUAUCCGGAUUUAUUGGGUUUAAAGGGUGCGUAGGCGGAUUGAUAAGUCAGUGGUGAAAACCUGCAGCUUAACUGUAGACGUGCCGUUGAUACUGUCAGUCUUGAGUGUGGUCAAGGUAGGCGGAAUGUGUAAUGUAGCGGUGAAAUGCUUAGAUAUUACACAGAACACCGAUUGCGAAGGCAGCUGACUGGGCCAUUACUGACGCUGAUGCACGAAAGCGUGGGGAUCGAACAG